Molecule: long non-coding RNA, 2832 nt
Filed under: Mus spretus (western wild mouse)
Lineage: Eukaryota; Metazoa; Chordata; Mammalia; Rodentia; Muridae
Description: lncRNA (ENSMSPG00010030262.1)
Source: RNAcentral
AGGCACCUUUCCUAGAAAGCUGAAAAGCAGCUCAGUUAAGUUUCUUCUCUGCUGUUUUCAUGGAGUGGGCUUGAAAACCUAGAUUCAAGAUACUCAGUUAAUCAGUCGCAGCUAUGUAAUAGUAUCCCACAAAAGGAAGUAUAGUAUGUAUGUGCUAUUUGGAAUUUCUGGAACUUCUCAAAGGGUUUUGUUUUUGAAUUUUUGAGACAGGGUAUUUCAGUGUUACCCUGGAACUACGAGUCCCAGACUAGCUAUGUAUUUGGGGACAAUUCUAUCUCCUUCCUUAGCCAUCAGGCACAGUAAUUUCCCUAUGCAAUCCUUGGCUGCCCUCCAACUCCAAUUUAUAAUUCUGUUUCAGCCUCAAAGUGUUGAAACGACAGGUGCUGCCUACCAUGGGUUGCUCUGAAAGUGUUUGUCUGUUUGUUUGUGUUUGUGUUUUUGCUUUAUUUGAUUUGGCAGCUAGGUAUGCUUUUAUGGAAUUGAAAGCAAAAAUAUAGCUGCGGCCUUGAAUUAAUUUUCAAAGGCUUUGGAGAAAUAAUGAAAGUGUUUUGGUUGUAUCCAUAAUUCAAAGUAGUUUCAUAGUAAAAGAGGCAUUUAGUAGCAGAAGAUAAAACUAAAGAAAAAAAUAUGAAAAAACUAAGUGAGACCUGAGUCUCCCUUUAGGCAGUAAGGGUGGGCCCGACUUCCAUCGUAUAUCUUGACUAUGUAUCAUCCUUGUAGGAGCUAAAGAACCAAACUCAAGGAUAGGUUCACGCGGCUGGCUCAGGAUUCCGUUGGUUUGUUUUAAGAUUUAUUUGUUUACUUUUAAUUUUUUUUUCUUUUUUUCUUUCCUUUUUUUUGUUUUUUGUUUUGUUUUGUUUUGUUUUGUUUUGUUUUGUUUGUUUGUUGUUUUGAGGCAGGGUUUCUCUGUAUAGCCCUGGCUAUCCUGGAACUCACUCUGUAGACCAAGCUGGCCUUGAACUCAGAAAUCCUCCUGCCUCUGCCUCCCAAGUGCUGGGAUUAAAGGCGUGUGCCACCACGCCCGGCAUAAUUUUAUUUGUUUUUAAGAUUUAUUUAUUUAUUUAUUAUUUGUGUUUUUAUGUAUGAGUGCUCUAUCAGCAUGCCAGAAGAGGGCAUCAGAUCCCAUUAUAGAUGGUUGUGAGCCACCAUGUGGUUGCUAGGAGUUGAACUCAGUACCUCUGGAAGAAAAGCCCGUGAACAUUUACCUGCUGAGACAUCUCCCCAGUCCCGAGGUUUCCUUCUAAAAGGACACAGAAAAGGGAACUAGGUCAGACAACUGCGAUAGGUUUUUGGUUGGGUUUUUUUGUUUGUUUGUUUGUUUGUUUCUCUGCUACUGGUGAAAUGAAUCAAUUCAAGCCAGAAUAAGAUUAUAUUAAGUGCAGGAUUAUUGGGAAGCUGCUCUCUGGCCCCAAGGACAGAAGCCAGAGAGGAAGGAAGAGAAUUGUACAUAUUCUCUGCUCACUCCUUUUCGAGUUUCCUUCCCGUUUGAGGGUAUGAGAAAUGGCUUGAGAUGACUUUGGCAACCUUUGAUCUUCAGGUACUCUUGCUCCAUUAAGCUCAUCAAGAGCUAAGAAAGGCUCUAUAGCUCGCAAAGCAAUCAGUACCACUAACCUAACCUGUUUUGUAUCACUAAUUUUAAGUGUCUUUCUGCUAAAGCUCAAUGUUACUAGUAGAUUUCCUAUAGAUACACAUAUGCCAUCCCUAGCCAUGAUGCUGAUGAUCGCCUAAGUUGUUUUCCAGAUUUUGAGGUUGGAAGCUGGUUUUGUUUUGUUCAAAGAGUGACUUUCUGUCUAAUAUGGGGCCUGAACUCUCAGCUAUUAGCCCCCCCAACAAAGUCAGGUAUUAAGGACAAACUCUUCCCCCCCCCCCCCCCCCAGGGUUUCUCUGUGUAGCCCUGGCUGUCCUGGAAUUCACUCUAUAGAUCAGGCUGGCCUCGAACUCAGAAAUCCACCUGCUUUUGCCUCCCAAGUGCUGGGAUUAAAGGCACGUGCCACCACUGCCCAGCAAGGACAAACUCUUAUAUUAAUAAACCUUCGAAGUAUUUUUCCUUAGCACCCUGUAUUAAUCAGGAUUCUCUAGAGUCACAGAAUUUAUGGGUAGUCUCUAUAGUGAAGAAAUUUGUUAUGAUGACUUACAAUUUGUAAUCCAACUCAGCACUUCUGUGAAUGGGAAGUCCAAGGAUCUAGUAGUUGCUCAAUCCCACAAGAAGAACACCAUGCCAAGAUCCAGAUCAGAAACUUCUAUCUCCCAGCCUCAAGGUCUGGAUCACAGCAGGUGCAUGCCCAAUACUCAUGAAGAUCAGAAGAAGGCAUUCUAUGGUUCUGAAAAUUGCCGAAAGAAGACUCCAGACUCAGAUAGUCUUCAGAAACAACCAGCAUGUGAGGGGUUGGGAGUGUCAACCAUUCUUUGAAAUGUUGACCCCCAGACAAAGGUGCACAAGCCUUCUUAUAGGGAACCAGGAACUCUCUAGAGGAACUAGCAUCAGAUCCCCUGAUAUUGGAGUUAUGAGUUACAAGUGAUUAUGAGUCACCAUGUGGAUGCUAAGAAUUGAACCCAGGUCUUCUGUAAGAACAGGCGACCCCUCUGAAAGGGUUGUUUGACCUGAGAAGGGGUCAUAGAGCUGCUGUGCUAGAUGAGAAAUUUUUCCUGAUGCAUCUGACUGUGAAGUUGAUCUGAAGAUAUUUAGAGGACAAAUUUAUCAAGUUCACCAUUGGAGAUCUAUGUAGUAUUAUGUAAAACAGUUUAUCUCCAUUAUAUUAUAUCACCAGUAUUUUUAGCUUAUUUUAAAAAAUAAUUUAUUUUUAAUUUUCAAUAAAUACUUGCUACAUAGUC